Non-coding RNA from Oncorhynchus mykiss (rainbow trout), 679 nucleotides. The record is from the annotation of a RefSeq genome assembly. Lineage: Eukaryota; Metazoa; Chordata; Actinopteri; Salmoniformes; Salmonidae.
GUUCUGCUGAUGACUUGUUGUCUUGUGUGGAGCAGCUGAGUUCAUAUCUCCACCCUCAGUAUGACGGGAACACUCUACCUUCUGCUGCUCUCUCUCUGUCUGACCUGUUUAAAUAGUCAAACUAUGGAAUCCAUUCCCUCCAGUCCACUCCAGAAAAAGCCAGGAGAAACUCUCAACCUCUCUUGCAGAGGAACUGGGUAUACCUUUACAAGCUAUGGUAUGAACUGGAUUCGCCAACCUACAGGGAAACCAUUGGAAUGGAUGGGCUGGAUCAACACCAAUACUGGAGCAGCAGGCUAUGCCAAAUCCCUGGAGGGACGGAUUGAACUGACCAAAGACAGCUCAGUGAGCAUGACACAUCUGAAACUGUCUGGUCUGAAGGCAGAGGACUCUGCUGUGUAUUACUGUGCACGCAGGACACAGUGAUGUGAAUGUGUGGUGGAUCUGUACAAAAACCCAUCAGACAUGGAUAGAUACAGGCUGUGAAACAUGUACACACGGUUGUUCUCCCCUGACACACUUCACUAACCCUCCUCUGCAAACAGCUGGGGUAAACAACCAUAUGCUUUAAUAUGAGAUGUCCUUAUAUCAGAAACACUGUCUAUGCUUCAUGAAUAGGGCCUUGAGUUUUUCUUGAUAUUCUUUUUAGGAGGGUUAGAAAAAUAAGACAAUAAACAUG